UCUGACCUCGAAUCAGAUGGGACUACCCGCUGAACUUAAGCAUAUCAAUAAGCGGAGGAAAAGAAACUAACAAGGAUUCCCCUAGUAACGGCGAGUGAAGCGGGAAGAGCUCAAAUUUAAAAUCUGGUAGUCCCUGGACU
RNAcentral lists this ribosomal RNA (140 nucleotides) under Hydnum albidum. RNAcentral describes it as "28S ribosomal RNA". It matches the Rfam family "Eukaryotic large subunit ribosomal RNA", at positions 1 to 138 of the family's 3401-position model. Lineage: Eukaryota; Fungi; Basidiomycota; Agaricomycetes; Cantharellales; Hydnaceae. The record is from RNAcentral.